AUUCCACUUAAGCCCUGCUUAGUGUUGGGAGACUGCUCCAGUGAUAGCUACCCUGUAGCUACCCUGCAGCUCCUUAAAGAUAGCGGCGGAGUUGUGAUAUCCUCUGAGCUUAGUAAUUUAUUCUAGCUUUCGAGUACAUCGCUUCCCCUGCCGUUAAACCACCCAAUUUUUAAU
RNAcentral lists this unclassified non-coding RNA (174 nucleotides) under uncultured Xylariales. Its description in RNAcentral is "sequence contains ITS2". Lineage: Eukaryota; Fungi; Ascomycota; Sordariomycetes; Xylariales. The record is from RNAcentral.